Molecule: transfer RNA, 71 nt
Filed under: Marmota monax (woodchuck)
Lineage: Eukaryota; Metazoa; Chordata; Mammalia; Rodentia; Sciuridae
Rfam family: tRNA
About the family: Transfer RNA (tRNA) molecules are approximately 80 nucleotides in length. Their secondary structure includes four short double-helical elements and three loops (D, anti-codon, and T loops). Further hydrogen bonds mediate the characteristic L-shaped molecular structure. tRNAs have two regions of fundamental functional importance: the anti-codon, which is responsible for specific mRNA codon recognition, and the 3' end, to which the tRNAs corresponding amino acid is attached (by aminoacyl-tRNA synthetases). tRNAs cope with the degeneracy of the genetic code in two manners: having more than one tRNA (with a specific anti-codon) for a particular amino acid; and 'wobble' base-pairing, i.e. permitting non-standard base-pairing at the 3rd anti-codon position.
Source: Rfam by way of RNAcentral
GUGGUUGUUGCUCAAUGGUAGAGUUCCUGCCUAGCAUGUGUGAGACACUGGGUUUAAUUCUCACAACCACA